Molecule: RNA transcript, 1603 nt
Organism: Cebus imitator (Panamanian white-faced capuchin)
Lineage: Eukaryota; Metazoa; Chordata; Mammalia; Primates; Cebidae
Gene name: olfactory receptor 52B2-like
Exons: 1
Source: RefSeq, a predicted model, not a curated record
UAUAUACUCUCAGUCAAGGCAUUAGUGAUUGAUUGCAUGGUCUAAUGUUCAACUAAUCAUGGAAAUUGUAACUGGCUCUGCUUACCGACAUUCCUGUUCUUUAGUUUUCAUAGAGAGACUCUGAAAGAAGGCAUGUUUGGUACUAAUCUCACCACCUUCCAUCCCACUCUGUUCAUUCUCCUUGGUAUCCCAGGACUGGAGCAAUAGCACACCUGGCUUUCCAUUCCUUUCUGCCUUAUGUACCUCACUGCAGUCUUGGGAAAUGGCGCCCCCAUCCUUGUUGUCCUCAGUGAACGCACCCUCCAUGAACCCAUGUAUGUCUUCUUAUCCAUGCUGGCUGGCACUGACAUCCUGCUGUCCACCACCACUGUGCCCAAGGCCUUGGCUAUCUUCUGGGUCCAUGCUAGGGAGAUAGCCUUUGAUGCCUGCGUUACUCAGAUGUUUUUCAUUCAUGUUGCCUUUGUGGCUGAGUCAGGAAUCCUGCUGGCCAUGGCAUUUGACUGUUAUGUGGCCAUUUGUGCUCCCUUGAGAUACACUACCAUCUUAACUCCUAUGGUAAUUGGAAAAAUGACCUUGGCCAUCUGGGGACGAAGCAUUGGGACAAUUUUUCCUAUCAUAUUCCUGUUGAAGAGGCUGCCAUACUGUCGGACCAAUGUCAUCCCCCACUCAUACUGCGAGCACAUUGGGGUGGCCCGAUUGGCUUGUGCUGACAUAACUGUCAAUAUCUGCUAUGGCUUUUCAGUGCCAAUGGCAUCGGUUUUGGUAGAUGUUGCACUUAUUGGUGUUUCCUACACUUUGAUCCUCCAAGCUGUGUUUAGACUUCCUUCCCAGGAUGCCCGGCACAAAGCUCUCAACACCUGUGGUUCUCACAUUGGAGUUAUUCUCCUCUUCUUCAUCCCGUCUUUUUUUACUUUCCUGACUCACCGCUUUGGAAAGAAUAUCCCCCAUCGUGUCCACAUACUUCUGGCAAAUCUCUAUGUGUUAGUUCCCCCCAUGCUUAACCCCAUCAUCUAUGGAGCAAAGACCAAGCAAAUCAGGGAUGGUAUGGCUCACAUGUUAUCUGCUGUGGGGAAGUCUUGAGAUAGUUCAUGGUCCUUUUAUAGUUUUCUCUUACCAGUAGGGGAAAAGAGAACUUGCCAAGCAAAUUCCCAAGUUUAGGCACUAUGGUGUGUUGUAGAAGAAAGCACAUGGACUUUGGAAUAAAUUAUACUUGGAUUCAAAUCCUGGCUCCCUUACAUCCUGAUUUUGGAAAAUCAUGGAGAGGUUCCCAUCUUUUGAAAAUUUAAUUUUAACCUGUAAAGUUGAACUGCUUAUAUGUAUGCUCUAGAGUUUUUGUAAAGAUUAUAUUAAAUAUGUAAACUACUUGGCAUAUUGCCCAGCAUUAUGUGGAAUUUCAAUGUUAGCUAUAAUUUUAACUUGAAGUUUGUUGCAUAAGAUGUCUUAGGUUACAUGAGAGUUUCAAUAUUUUCAGAGGUUCUGCUGCCUCCUCCUGCUUACCUUCCAAGGCUGUGUCAUGAUCAUCAUCAUCUCCAACAUCAUUGCUGUCAUUAUCACAAGUUUGUUGUAGAAAUCAACUGGGUAAUAAAUAUUUUAAAAAUGCUUU